CCUACGGGUGGCAGCAGUGGGGAAUAUUGCACAAUGGGGGAAACCCUGAUGCAGCAACGCCGCGUGAGUGAAGAAGUAUUUCGGUAUGUAAAGUCCUAUCAGCAGGGAAGAUAAUGACGGUAUCUGACUAAGAAGCACCGGCUAACUCCGUGCCAGCAGCCGCGGUAAUACGUAGGGGGCAAGCGUUACUCGGAUUCACUGGGGGUAAAGGGUGCGCAGACGGGAGCGGAAGUCAGAAGUGAAAUCCUGUGGCUUAACUACGGAACUGCUUUGGAAACUGUGCAGCUAGAGUGCAGGAGAGGUAAGUGGAAUUCCUAGUGUAGGGGUAAAAUGCGUAGAUAUUAAGAGGAACACUAGUGGCGAAGGCGACUUACUGGAAUAUAACUGACGUUGAGGCACGAAAGCGUGGGGAGCAAACAGGAUUAGAUACCCUAGUAGUC
This 440-nucleotide ribosomal RNA is filed under the name uncultured bacterium. RNAcentral's name for it is "partial 16S ribosomal RNA". It matches the Rfam family "Bacterial small subunit ribosomal RNA", at positions 338 to 795 of the family's 1533-position model. The record is from RNAcentral.